GAGGGUCUAGCUCAGUGGUAGAGCACAUGCCUAGCAGGCAUGAGGUCCUGGGUUCAAUCCCCAGUCCCUCC
Molecule: transfer RNA, 71 nt
Filed under: Camelus bactrianus (Bactrian camel)
Lineage: Eukaryota; Metazoa; Chordata; Mammalia; Artiodactyla; Camelidae
Also listed under: 2 other names
Rfam family: tRNA
About the family: Transfer RNA (tRNA) molecules are approximately 80 nucleotides in length.
Source: Rfam by way of RNAcentral